Molecule: ribosomal RNA, 501 nt
Filed under: uncultured bacterium
Lineage: Bacteria
Description: partial 16S ribosomal RNA
Rfam family: Bacterial small subunit ribosomal RNA
Source: RNAcentral
GACGAACGCUGGCGGCGUGCCUAAUACAUGCAAGUCGAACGAACCGCGACUAGGUGCUUGCACUUGGUCAAGGUGAGUGGCGAACGGGUGAGUAACACGUGGGUAACCUACCUCAUAGUGGGGGAUAACAGUCGGAAACGACUGCUAAUACCGCAUAGGACAUAGGAUCACAUGAUCCAGUGAGGAAAGGUGGCGCAAGCUAUCGCUAAGAGAUGGACCCGCGGUGCAUUAGCUAGUUGGUAGGGUAAAGGCCUACCAAGGCGAUGAUGCAUAGCCGACCUGAGAGGGUGAUCGGCCACAUUGGGACUAGACACGGCCCAAACUCCUACGGGAGGCAGCAGUAGGGAAUCUUCCGCAAUGGACGCAAGUCUGACGGAGCAACGCCGCGUGAGUGAAGAAGGUCUUCGGAUCGUAAAGCUCUGUUGUUAGAGAAGAACAGCGCAUAGAGUAACUGUUAUGCGUGUGACGGUAUCUAACCAGAAAGCCACGGCUAACUACGUG